RNAcentral lists this long non-coding RNA (1153 nucleotides) under Sorghum bicolor (sorghum). Its description in RNAcentral is "long non-coding RNA (SBIC_LNC002252)". The record is from RNAcentral. Lineage: Eukaryota; Viridiplantae; Streptophyta; Magnoliopsida; Poales; Poaceae.
CAAUAAAUAAGUAGGGUUGAAGAACAGUACUAGUACGUGUUGAUGCCACCGUACCACAAAAGUCCAUUAUGCCUAUAGGAAACAUUGUAAGCUUAAUUGUGUACAUUACACGUCAAACAAUAAUGACGAGUACAUGGCGUUAUUGUUGAAGGGUACCAUUAUAUAUUCAAUGGUAGAACUGCCAUCUUGCUUCCCCUUAUGACACUCAAUAAUUACCACCAUGAGAAGAAAGGCUAGGGUUAACAUAAAAUGGAGGAGAAAGAGCGGGUAGAAGAAGAAAAUAAUGUCAAUGUUUAUGCAUUGGAAUGGAGGGCAAAAGGAAAUAUGCUAUGGCAUUUCGAUGAUACCUUCUAGGACUAUCAUAAUAGAUGGUGAGGGCACAUUAUGAGUCCAUGAAGAAUAGCCUUGUUGCCAUGAUUACCUGUUUCUGUGUCUUGCUGUGUUAAGCCAAGUUACCUUCAUCUACAGCGUGUUGGACCUAUAUGUUUUCUAAAUAGCAGAGUAUGACAGAUCUUGCUGGUUCCAGCCUUGUUGCCAUUAUCCAUUCCAGCAACGGCAAUGCUGACACCGAGCACCAUAGACUCUGAGGACCUGAUCAGUCUUGUGUUUCAUAAACUGAUUUAUCUACCUUCAACUCUAGUUAUGGUCUUUUUCUACCAGGAGUACCCACAAGUCCACAUGGAAAUCCACACAUGCAUGUAUAUUGCAGCAGGGCAUACAUUGUUACUCACCGUAAUUGUCUUCUACUCUUCAAUCCAUAGAUAGAGUCUGGCUUACAGGAGCAGGGGUGUUUACUGAAAAACCGACAGCUAUAGUCGUCAGUUAAUGGCCUCUGAAUUGCCUACCAUUUGUGUUCCGUAGUUUGCUACAUACGCUUUUGCAAGAUCAACUGUAUUACACUUGGGAGUGGACGAAGGGAAAUGGAAUCUGAUUCCAUACAGUCUGGAAAGUUAUUUUGCUGGGGAAAAAAUACUUUCAAAGUUUGGGUAGCAUGUAUUAACUUAAGUAAUGUAGUACAAUGGUAUUGCUGUCAACUACCAAACUAUAAUAACAUUCCAGUUUGCUUCCUUUAGUUGGCCAUGAUGGAGCAACACAUAAUGGCAGAGACAUAGAAAAGUUAACGUUAGGAGGAAAAAAAUUCGUCUUCUUGCCU